AAUACAGAGACUGCAAGCGUUAUUCGGAUUCACUGGGCGUAAAGGGUGCGCAGGCGGUUGGGUGUGUCAGAUGUGAAAUCCCGAGGCUUAACCUCGGAACUGCGUCUGAAACUACUCGACUAGAGUAUUGGAGAGGGUAACGGAAUUCACGGUGUAGCAGUGGAAUGCGUAGAUAUCGUGAGGAACACCAGAGGCGAAGGCGGUUACCUGGACAAUUACUGACGCUCAGGCACGAAAGCAUGGGGAGCAAAAGGGA
RNAcentral lists this ribosomal RNA (256 nucleotides) under uncultured prokaryote. RNAcentral's name for it is "partial 16S ribosomal RNA". It matches the Rfam family "Bacterial small subunit ribosomal RNA", at positions 522 to 777 of the family's 1533-position model. The record is from RNAcentral.